AGCAGCCGCGGUAAUUCCAGCUCCAAUAGCGUAUAUUAAAGUUGUUGCAGUUAAAAAGCUCGUAGUUGAAUUUCGGGAUUAGUGCGCUGGUCAUGCCUUUGGUAUGUACUGGUGUUACUGAUUUCUACCUUCUGAAGAACCGUUAUGUCAUUUAUUUGGUGUGGCGGGGAAUCAGGACUGUUACUUUGAAAAAAUUAGAGUGUUUAAAGCAGGCUCGCGCUUGAAUACAUUAGCAUGGAAUAAUGAAAUAGGACGUUUGACCCUAUUUUGUUGGUUUCUAGGAUCGACGUAAUGAUUAAUAGGGAUAGUUGGGGGCAUUAGUAUUCAAUUGUCAGAGGUGAAAUUCUUGGAUUUAUUGAAGACUAACUACUGCGAAAGCAUUUGCCAAGGAUGUUUUCAUUAAUCAAGAACGAAAGUUAGGGGAUCGAAGACGAUCAGAUACCGUCGUAGUCUUAACCAUAAACUAUGCCGACUAGGGAUCGGAUGAUGUUAUUUUUAAUGACUCAUUCGGCGCCUUACG
RNAcentral lists this ribosomal RNA (520 nucleotides) under uncultured Glomus. RNAcentral's name for it is "SSU rRNA". It matches the Rfam family "Eukaryotic small subunit ribosomal RNA", at positions 569 to 1092 of the family's 1831-position model. Lineage: Eukaryota; Fungi; Glomeromycota; Glomeromycetes; Glomerales; Glomeraceae. The record is from RNAcentral. RNAcentral also lists the same sequence under 1 other name.